GGCUGGCCAGAUACAGCUGCUCCUGGCUGUUGGGACCCUCAUUUUGUGCCGGUACUGCUGAGAUCUCUCCUGGAGUGUAGGCUGAAGAAGGCUGUGGGAAUGCUGGUCCCAAAAAGGAGAAUUCAUGGGCUGCUGAAACCUUGUACUUGCAUUGCCUAUGGCGCUGCGGUAGUAUCCUUCUGCCCCUGCUCUGAGGGAACCCCGUUGGUAUUACAGCAGUGAAGAAGCUCCCACAGUUCUGGAUGCAGAGGUGAGUCUUUGUUCUUCAUCUCUCUACAUGCUGAAAAAUCUGCAAGGUGGCCAAAUCAGCAAAACCACAACUGUUCGAUGCACCAGUGCUGCCAUGUACCUAUGCAGGUACAGCAGUCUACAAUAUGAGGGGAAGGACAAACGCAAGAUGAUGUAUUUCCUCCUGUAUUUUCUGCAAACCAUGCAGUAUGCAAUUCAAGACAUAAUGUACUCUGUAAGUGAUGAAACAAAAGUACCAGAGCAAAGCAGAUGAUUUAUUUACUAACGGACCAUGCUGAGGUACAGUUGAAGCUGAAUAAAAACAUCACUAUUCCUAGACAGGCUCUGCUGCUUCAAGCUUCAGCUAUUUAUUCAGAUAAAUUUAGACAUAUUUGU
This is a long non-coding RNA of Cygnus olor (mute swan), 624 nucleotides long. RefSeq lists it as uncharacterized. The transcript is spliced from 4 exons. The record is from RefSeq and is a predicted model, not a curated record. Lineage: Eukaryota; Metazoa; Chordata; Aves; Anseriformes; Anatidae.